UACAGAGGUCUCAAGCGUUGUUCGGAUUCAUUGGGCGUAAAGGGUGCGUAGGUGGUGACGCAAGUCUGGUGUGAAAUCUCGGAGCUUAACUCCGAAACUGCAUUCGAUACUACCGUGCUUGAGGACUGGAGAGGAGACUGGAAUUUACGGUGUAGCGGUGAAAUGCGUAGAUAUCGUAAGGAAGACCAGUGGCGAAGGCGGGUCUCUGGACAGUUCCUGACGCUGAGGCACGAAGGCCAGGGGAGCAAACGGG
RNAcentral lists this ribosomal RNA (253 nucleotides) under uncultured bacterium. Its description in RNAcentral is "partial 16S ribosomal RNA". It matches the Rfam family "Bacterial small subunit ribosomal RNA", at positions 524 to 776 of the family's 1533-position model. The record is from RNAcentral.